Non-coding RNA from Phyllosticta citriasiana, 93 nucleotides. The record is from the annotation of a GenBank genome assembly. NCBI's taxonomy places the organism in Eukaryota, Fungi, Ascomycota, Dothideomycetes, Botryosphaeriales, Phyllostictaceae.
GCCCGGCUAGCUCAAUCGGUAGAGCGUGAGACUCUUAAACCGCCCUCUUAAGGUGACAUCUCAAGGCUGCGGGUUCGACCCCCGCGUUGGGCU